AGUGAACGCUGGCGGUAGGCCUAACACAUGCAAGUCGAACGGCAGCACAGUAAGAGCUUGCUCUUACGGGUGGCGAGUGGCGGACGGGUGCGGAAUACAUCGGAAUCUACUUUUUCGUGGGGGAUAACGUAGGGAAACUUACGCUAAUACCGCAUACGACCUACGGGUGAAAGCAGGGGAUCUUCGGACCUUGCGCGAUUGAAUGAGCCGAUGUCGGAUUAGCUAGUUGGCGGGGUAAAGGCCCACCAAGGCGACGAUCCGUAGCUGGUCUGAGAGGAUGAUCAGCCACACUGGAACUGAGACACGGUCCAGACUCCUACGGGAGGCAGCAGUGGGGAAUAUUGGACAAUGGGCGCAAGCCUGAUCCAGCCAUACCGCGUGGGUGAAGAAGGCCUUCGGGUUGUAAAGCCCUGUUGUUGGGAAAGAAAAGCAGCAGGUUAAUACCCCGCUGUUCUGACGGUACCCAAAGAAUAAGCACCGGCUAACUUCGUG
Molecule: ribosomal RNA, 492 nt
Filed under: uncultured bacterium
Lineage: Bacteria
Description: partial 16S ribosomal RNA
Rfam family: Bacterial small subunit ribosomal RNA
Source: RNAcentral